Molecule: transfer RNA, 82 nt
Filed under: Ensifer sp. Root423
Lineage: Bacteria; Pseudomonadati; Pseudomonadota; Alphaproteobacteria; Hyphomicrobiales; Rhizobiaceae
Description: tRNA-Met
Rfam family: tRNA
About the family: Transfer RNA (tRNA) molecules are approximately 80 nucleotides in length. Their secondary structure includes four short double-helical elements and three loops (D, anti-codon, and T loops). Further hydrogen bonds mediate the characteristic L-shaped molecular structure. tRNAs have two regions of fundamental functional importance: the anti-codon, which is responsible for specific mRNA codon recognition, and the 3' end, to which the tRNAs corresponding amino acid is attached (by aminoacyl-tRNA synthetases). tRNAs cope with the degeneracy of the genetic code in two manners: having more than one tRNA (with a specific anti-codon) for a particular amino acid; and 'wobble' base-pairing, i.e. permitting non-standard base-pairing at the 3rd anti-codon position.
Source: RNAcentral
CGCGGGGUGGAGCAGCCCGGUAGCUCGUCAGGCUCAUAACCUGAAGGCCGGGCCGCAGGUUCAAAUCCUGCCCCCGCAACCA